Molecule: ribosomal RNA, 254 nt
Filed under: uncultured bacterium
Lineage: Bacteria
Description: partial 16S ribosomal RNA
Rfam family: Bacterial small subunit ribosomal RNA
Source: RNAcentral
UACGGGGGGGGGCAAGCGUUGUUCGGACUUACUGGGCGUAAAGGGCUCGUAGGCGGCCAACUAAGUCAGACGUGAAAUCCCUCGGCUUAACCGGGGAACUGCGUCUGAUACUGGAUGGCUUGAGUUUGGGAGAGGGAUGCGGAAUUCCAGGUGUAGCGGUGAAAUGCGUAGAUAUCAGGAGGAACACCGGUGGCGAAGGCGGGACUCUGGGCCGAUACUGACGCUGAGGAGCGAAAGCGUGGGGAGCAAACAGG